This 637-nucleotide ribosomal RNA is filed under the name uncultured bacterium. Its description in RNAcentral is "bacterial SSU rRNA". It matches the Rfam family "Bacterial small subunit ribosomal RNA", at positions 607 to 1244 of the family's 1533-position model. The record is from RNAcentral.
GCUCAACCCCGAGCGGCCAUUGGAAACUGGGGAGCUUGAGUGCAGAAGAGGAGAGUGGAAUUCCACGUGUAGCGGUGAAAUGCGUAGAGAUGUGGAGGAACACCAGUGGCGAAGGCGACUCUCUGGUCUGUAACUGACGCUGAGGCGCGAAAGCGUGGGGAGCAAACAGGAUUAGAUACCCUGGUAGUCCACGCCGUAAACGAUGAGUGCUAGGUGUUAGGGGUUUCGAUGCCCGUAGUGCCGAAGUUAACACAUUAAGCACUCCGCCUGGGGAGUACGGCCGCAAGGCUGAAACUCAAAGGAAUUGACGGGGACUCGCACAAGCAGUGGAGCAUGUGGUUUAAUUCGAAGCAACGCGAAGAACCUUACCAGGUCUUGACAUCCUUUGACCACCCAAGAGAUUGGGCUUCCCCUUCGGGGGCAAAGUGACAGGUGGUGCAUGGUUGUCGUCAGCUCGUGUCGUGAGAUGUUGGGUUAAGUCCCGCAACGAGCGCAACCCUUGAUCUUAGUUGCCAGCAUUGAGUUGGGCACUCUAAGGUGACUGCCGGUGACAAACCGGAGGAAGGUGGGGAUGACGUCAAAUCAUCAUGCCCCUUAUGACCUGGGCUACACACGUGCUACAAUGGAUGGUACAAAG